RNAcentral lists this ribosomal RNA (321 nucleotides) under uncultured eukaryote. RNAcentral's name for it is "partial 18S ribosomal RNA". It matches the Rfam family "Eukaryotic small subunit ribosomal RNA", at positions 1470 to 1796 of the family's 1831-position model. The record is from RNAcentral.
CCCUUAGAUGUUCUGGGCCGCACGCGUGCUACACUGAACGGUUCAAUGGGUAAGGUAGUGCGAAAGCAUGACCUAAUCUCGAAAUCCGUUCGUGCUGGGGAUAGAAGCUUGCAAUUAUCCUUCUUGAACGAGGAAUACCUUGUAAGCGUGAGUCAUCAUCUCACGCUGAAUACGUCCCUGCCCUUUGUACACACCGCCCGUCGCUCCUACCGAUUGAAUGGUUCGGUGAAGAUCUCGGACUUCGAUAUUUAUUCUUUAUUGAGUUUAUAUUGUGGGAAGUUAUCUAAACCUCAUCAUUUAGAGGAAGGUGAAGUCGUAACA